UCCGCACGAGCGCACCCUUGUCCUUAGUUACCAGCACGUUUAUGGUGGGCACUCUAGGGAGACUGCCGGUGACAAACCGGAGGAAGGUGGGGACGACGUCAAGUCAUCAUGGCCCUUACGNCCAGGGCUACACACGUGCUACAAUGGUGCAUACAGACGGUUGCCAAGCCGCAAGGUGGAGCUAAUCUGAGAAAGUGCAUCGUAGUCCGGAUUGGGGUCUGCAACUCGACCCCAUGAAGUCGGAAUCGCUAGUAAUCGUGAAUCAGAAUGUCACGGUGAAUACGUUCCCGGGCCUU
Molecule: ribosomal RNA, 296 nt
Filed under: uncultured bacterium
Lineage: Bacteria
Description: partial 16S ribosomal RNA
Rfam family: Bacterial small subunit ribosomal RNA
Source: RNAcentral